AAAUAUUUCGAUACAAUGCCUCGAGUCCUGCGUGCCAACGCUAAGAAAAACGAAGACGAGGCGCGGAGAGAUUCUCUGUGCCGAAUACUGUAUUGCACAUGAAAUGCAGCUAUUGAGAAAGUCUGUGCUCACCAAACUGCCACAGACAACAAAGAAAUAAGAAUCCACAUGACUAAAUGUUUUAGCACACGGUUUAUAAUAAAGUGAAAUUUUGGUUCAUAACAACACUAUGGAAAAUGUUGUAUUUAUCAGUAAAGAUAAUUUGUAUACAAGCACUGUUAUAGAGUUCUGUUUUAUCCUGUAUAACUUCAAAUAUAAGAAGUACUGUACAUAUUUUAUUCAGAGCAAAAGGAAAUAUGGAAAGGAGCAUUUGAAGUAAUUAACUAAAAUUUGAGACACAUAGAAAUGUUGUACCUGUUUAAAAAUGUGAAAAUCAGUAUUUAGAGGAAGAACUCACAUCAUGUUUUACAGAAUCUAGGUAUAAAAUUACCUAUGACUCUCUGUAAGGUUUACUUACUUGUGUAGUCAUAUUUUAAAUUAAAGGUGUCUUACUGUA
Long non-coding RNA from Schistocerca americana (American grasshopper), 556 nucleotides. RefSeq lists it as uncharacterized. The record is from RefSeq and is a predicted model, not a curated record. Lineage: Eukaryota; Metazoa; Arthropoda; Insecta; Orthoptera; Acrididae. The transcript has 2 exons.